AGAGUUUGAUCCUGGCUCAGAACGAACGCUGGCGGCGUGCCUAACACAUGCAAGUCGAACGGGUACAUGUUCGGCACCGUGUGCAUUUUGCCUUUUUAAGGGGGGUGGAGUGGACAGGGUGCCGGACAUGUGCUAGUGGCGCACGGGUGAGUAACACGUAGGCAACCUACCUCAGGGCGGGGGAUAACAUCCGGAAACGGGUGCUAAUACCGCGUAAGCCCACGGAUUGGGAUAUCUGUGGGAAAAGGAGCAAUCCACCUUGAGAUGGGCCUGCGGCCUAUCAGGUAGUUGGCGGGGUAACGGCCCACCAAGCCAAAGACGGGUAGCCGGUCUGAGAGGAUGAACGGCCACACUGGAACUGAGACACGGUCCAGACUCCUACGGGAGGCAGCAGUGGGGAAUUUUGCGCAAUGGGGGAAACCCUGACGCAGCGACGCCGCGUGGAGGACGAAGGCCUUCGGGUUGUAAACUCCUUUUGCCGGGGAAAAUGAUGAUGGUACCCGGCGAAUAAGCCACGGCUAACUCUGUGCCAGCAGCCGCGGUAAUACGGGGGGUGCAAGCGUUGCUCGGAAUUAUUGGGCGUAAAGCGCGUGUAGGCGGUCUGAUUAGUCUGAUGUGAAAGCCCUGGGCUCAACCCAGGAAGUGCAUUGGAUACUGUCAGACUUGAAUACGGGAGAGGGUAGUGGAAUUCCUAGUGUAGGAGUGAAAUCCGUAGAUAUUAGGAGGAACACCGGUGGCGAAGGCGGCUACCUGGACCGAUAUUGACGCUGAGACGCGAAAGCGUGGGUAGCAAACAGGAUUAGAUACCCUGGUAGUCC
RNAcentral lists this ribosomal RNA (818 nucleotides) under uncultured bacterium. RNAcentral describes it as "bacterial SSU rRNA". It matches the Rfam family "Bacterial small subunit ribosomal RNA", at positions 8 to 796 of the family's 1533-position model. The record is from RNAcentral.